This 2930-nucleotide ribosomal RNA is filed under the name Escherichia coli. Its description in RNAcentral is "23S ribosomal RNA". It matches the Rfam family "Bacterial large subunit ribosomal RNA". The record is from RNAcentral. Lineage: Bacteria; Pseudomonadati; Pseudomonadota; Gammaproteobacteria; Enterobacterales; Enterobacteriaceae.
GGGUUGUGAGGUUAAGCGACUAAGCGUACACGGUGGAUGCCCUGGCAGUCAGAGGCGAUGAAGGACGUGCUAAUCUGCGAUAAGCGUCGGUAAGGUGAUAUGAACCGUUAUAACCGGCGAUUUCCGAAUGGGGAAACCCAGUGUGAUUCGUCACACUAUCAUUAACUGAAUCCAUAGGUUAAUGAGGCGAACCGGGGGAACUGAAACAUCUAAGUACCCCGAGGAAAAGAAAUCAACCGAGAUUCCCCCAGUAGCGGCGAGCGAACGGGGAGCAGCCCAGAGCCUGAAUCAGUGUGUGUGUUAGUGGAAGCGUCUGGAAAGGCGCGCGAUACAGGGUGACAGCCCCGUACACAAAAAUGCACAUGCUGUGAGCUCGAUGAGUAGGGCGGGACACGUGGUAUCCUGUCUGAAUAUGGGGGGACCAUCCUCCAAGGCUAAAUACUCCUGACUGACCGAUAGUGAACCAGUACCGUGAGGGAAAGGCGAAAAGAACCCCGGCGAGGGGAGUGAAAAAGAACCUGAAACCGUGUACGUACAAGCAGUGGGAGCACGCUUAGGCGUGUGACUGCGUACCUUUUGUAUAAUGGGUCAGCGACUUAUAUUCUGUAGCAAGGUUAACCGAAUAGGGGAGCCGAAGGGAAACCGAGUCUUAACUGGGCGUUAAGUUGCAGGGUAUAGACCCGAAACCCGGUGAUCUAGCCAUGGGCAGGUUGAAGGUUGGGUAACACUAACUGGAGGACCGAACCGACUAAUGUUGAAAAAUUAGCGGAUGACUUGUGGCUGGGGGUGAAAGGCCAAUCAAACCGGGAGAUAGCUGGUUCUCCCCGAAAGCUAUUUAGGUAGCGCCUCGUGAAUUCAUCUCCGGGGGUAGAGCACUGUUUCGGCAAGGGGGUCAUCCCGACUUACCAACCCGAUGCAAACUACGAAUACCGGAGAAUGUUAUCACGGGAGACACACGGCGGGUGCUAACGUCCGUCGUGAAGAGGGAAACAACCCAGACCGCCAGCUAAGGUCCCAAAGUCAUGGUUAAGUGGGAAACGAUGUGGGAAGGCCCAGACAGCCAGGAUGUUGGCUUAGAAGCAGCCAUCAUUUAAAGAAAGCGUAAUAGCUCACUGGUCGAGUCGGCCUGCGCGGAAGAUGUAACGGGGCUAAACCAUGCACCGAAGCUGCGGCAGCGACGCUGAUGCGUUGUUGGGUAGGGGAGCGUUCUGUAAGCCUGCGAAGGUGUGCUGUGAGGCAUGCUGGAGGUAUCAGAAGUGCGAAUGCUGACAUAAGUAACGAUAAAGCGGGUGAAAAGCCCGCUCGCCGGAAGACCAAGGGUUCCUGUCCAACGUUAAUCGGGGCAGGGUGAGUCGACCCCUAAGGCGAGGCCGAAAGGCGUAGUCGAUGGGAAACAGGUUAAUAUUCCUGUACUUGGUGUUACUGCGAAGGGGGGACGGAGAAGGCUAUGUUGGCCGGGCGACGGUUGUCCCGGUUUAAGCGUGUAGGCUGGUUUUCCAGGCAAAUCCGGAAAAUCAAGGCUGAGGCGUGAUGACGAGGCACUACGGUGCUGAAGCAACAAAUGCCCUGCUUCCAGGAAAAGCCUCUAAGCAUCAGGUAACAUCAAAUCGUACCCCAAACCGACACAGGUGGUCAGGUAGAGAAUACCAAGGCGCUUGAGAGAACUCGGGUGAAGGAACUAGGCAAAAUGGUGCCGUAACUUCGGGAGAAGGCACGCUGAUAUGUAGGUGAAGUCCCUCGCGGAUGGAGCUGAAAUCAGUCGAAGAUACCAGCUGGCUGCAACUGUUUAUUAAAAACACAGCACUGUGCAAACACGAAAGUGGACGUAUACGGUGUGACGCCUGCCCGGUGCCGGAAGGUUAAUUGAUGGGGUCAGCGCAAGCGAAGCUCUUGAUCGAAGCCCCGGUAAACGGCGGCCGUAACUAUAACGGUCCUAAGGUAGCGAAAUUCCUUGUCGGGUAAGUUCCGACCUGCACGAAUGGCGUAAUGAUGGCCAGGCUGUCUCCACCCGAGACUCAGUGAAAUUGAACUCGCUGUGAAGAUGCAGUGUACCCGCGGCAAGACGGAAAGACCCCGUGAACCUUUACUAUAGCUUGACACUGAACAUUGAGCCUUGAUGUGUAGGAUAGGUGGGAGGCUUUGAAGUGUGGACGCCAGUCUGCAUGGAGCCGACCUUGAAAUACCACCCUUUAAUGUUUGAUGUUCUAACGUUGACCCGUAAUCCGGGUUGCGGACAGUGUCUGGUGGGUAGUUUGACUGGGGCGGUCUCCUCCUAAAGAGUAACGGAGGAGCACGAAGGUUGGCUAAUCCUGGUCGGACAUCAGGAGGUUAGUGCAAUGGCAUAAGCCAGCUUGACUGCGAGCGUGACGGCGCGAGCAGGUGCGAAAGCAGGUCAUAGUGAUCCGGUGGUUCUGAAUGGAAGGGCCAUCGCUCAACGGAUAAAAGGUACUCCGGGGAUAACAGGCUGAUACCGCCCAAGAGUUCAUAUCGACGGCGGUGUUUGGCACCUCGAUGUCGGCUCAUCACAUCCUGGGGCUGAAGUAGGUCCCAAGGGUAUGGCUGUUCGCCAUUUAAAGUGGUACGCGAGCUGGGUUUAGAACGUCGUGAGACAGUUCGGUCCCUAUCUGCCGUGGGCGCUGGAGAACUGAGGGGGGCUGCUCCUAGUACGAGAGGACCGGAGUGGACGCAUCACUGGUGUUCGGGUUGUCAUGCCAAUGGCACUGCCCGGUAGCUAAAUGCGGAAGAGAUAAGUGCUGAAAGCAUCUAAGCACGAAACUUGCCCCGAGAUGAGUUCUCCCUGACCCUUUAAGGGUCCUGAAGGAACGUUGAAGACGACGACGUUGAUAGGCCGGGUGUGUAAGCGCAGCGAUGCGUUGAGCUAACCGGUACUAAUGAACCGUGAGGCUUAACCUUACAACGCCGAAGCUGUU